This is a non-coding RNA of Hypoxylon crocopeplum, 91 nucleotides long. NCBI's taxonomy places the organism in Eukaryota, Fungi, Ascomycota, Sordariomycetes, Xylariales, Hypoxylaceae. The record is from the annotation of a GenBank genome assembly.
GGCAUCUUGGCGGAGUGGUUAACGCGAUGCCCUGCUAUUAAUUAGGAAGGCAUUUCCUUCGGGAGCGCAGGUUCGAAUCCUGCAGAUGUCG